This 253-nucleotide ribosomal RNA is filed under the name uncultured bacterium. RNAcentral's name for it is "partial 16S ribosomal RNA". It matches the Rfam family "Bacterial small subunit ribosomal RNA", at positions 524 to 776 of the family's 1533-position model. The record is from RNAcentral.
UACGUAGGGUGCAAGCGUUGUCCGGAAUUAUUGGGCGUAAAGAGCUCGUAGGCGGUCUGUUGCGUCGGCUGUGAAAACCCGGGGCUCAACCCCGGGCCUGCAGCCGAUACGGGCAGACUAGAGUUCGGCAGGGGAGACUGGAAUUCCUGGUGUAGCGGUGAAAUGCGCAGAUAUCAGGAGGAACACCGGUGGCGAAGGCGGGUCUCUGGGCCGAUACUGACGCUGAGGAGCGAAAGCGUGGGGGGCGAACAGG